Long non-coding RNA from Cucumis sativus (cucumber), 645 nucleotides. RefSeq lists it as uncharacterized. The transcript has 2 exons. The record is from RefSeq and is a predicted model, not a curated record. NCBI's taxonomy places the organism in Eukaryota, Viridiplantae, Streptophyta, Magnoliopsida, Cucurbitales, Cucurbitaceae.
AAUAAAAACAAAUUCUUUGAAAAACAAAUAUUUUUCUAAGGUCAAUGGAUCAAAAUUUGUGAUUAAAUCUUUUUUUUAGGUUAAAAGCCCUUUGAAAAUGAAUAGUCAAUUAUACCCCCGGAUCUUCCGUCGUCGUUGGGUUUAACUCAAUUUCCCGUUUCUCGUCAGAACUGCAAACUGAAGACGGAACCCGCGAAUUCGUUGCCGAACAAAGAUCUUCAGUGCGAGCUUCAGUCUAAACAUGGGUACUAGAGAAGUUUACGAACAUAAGCUAAGAAGAGGCAAUCUCUACCAUGAACCCACUAUGAAUCCAGGGCUCGGAUCGCCUCGUUGCCCUCGCUGUUUUUCUCUUCUUAAACCCGACCAUGAUAAAAGUGAAUGGGCCAUCAAUCCUGUUCUCCACUGUGUUACUGCUGUGGUGAGUUGCCAUCGUUCCGAUCUUCGAUUUUAUUUGCUUUGAGAACACAUAAUUUAAUGGGUGCUUCUAGGUUUUUUGAUCGUGUAGAGUUAUAAUUGAACUCUAUGUUGUGUUUGUUUAAUUGGUUCGGUCUUUAGUAGUUCAUGAACGUUUGUUGAUCGAUGAUUUAGGAGUUUAAUUCAAUUCAGUUCUUGCUAUUAGCAAUUGGAGUAUUCUAUCUAACUCAA